Molecule: long non-coding RNA, 487 nt
Organism: Rosa chinensis
Lineage: Eukaryota; Viridiplantae; Streptophyta; Magnoliopsida; Rosales; Rosaceae
Exons: 2
Source: RefSeq, a predicted model, not a curated record
AUCACGGAGGAUUUGUUAUCGGUGCUGUUUUGGAAGGGUUAUAAAACCCCUGUGGAAAUAAACAGAGGAAGGACUUUCUGCACUCAUGAACCCAUCAGCAACAAUACAGGAAAAGUACCAAUAAAAGACCAUGGAGAAAUGACCAGCAGGAUACCUGAACUUGAUGCUCUCCUGUCGUCGGGUUGUAGUCUCCAGCCUUGUGUUUCUUAUAUAGGGGCAGUGAAGAUUCUAGAGGGCGGGAUAAACAUUUGUUUGAAAUUUGAAUCUCCCGAAGAUCACGAAGAUAAGCUGUUGAUCGGAGACUUCGUCUUUGACUUUGAGAUUGAACUUGGACGCCCUCUGCCACUUUGUUCUUAUCACAAUUUGAAUGCUUUCUUCUGUUUCUUUUUUUUUCGUAGCUUAUCCCCACCCAAGCUUGGUCAACCUUUGAAUUUGAGAAACAGAUAAUUUGUAAAUAAAUAUUUGUUUAACUGCUGUCAUUAUCCUC